Molecule: ribosomal RNA, 469 nt
Filed under: uncultured bacterium
Lineage: Bacteria
Description: partial 16S ribosomal RNA
Rfam family: Bacterial small subunit ribosomal RNA
Source: RNAcentral
GACGAACGCUGGCGGCGUGCUUAACACAUGCAAGUCGAACGGAAAGGCCCUGCUUUUGUGGGGUGCUCGAGUGGCGAACGGGUGAGUAACACGUGAGUAACCUGCCCUUGACUUUGGGAUAACUUCAGGAAACUGGGGCUAAUACCGGAUAGGAGCUCCUGCUGCAUGGUGGGGGUUGGAAAGUUUCGGCGGUUGGGGAUGGACUCGCGGCUUAUCAGCUUGUUGGUGGGGUAGUGGCUUACCAAGGCUUUGACGGGUAGCCGGCCUGAGAGGGUGACCGGCCACAUUUGGGCUGAGAAACGGCCCAGACUCCUACGGGGGGGAGCAGGGGGGAAUAUUGCACAAUGGGCGGAAGCCUGAUGCAGCAACGCCGCGUGCGGGAAGACGGCCUUCGGGUUGGAAACCGCUUUCGCUCAGGACGAAGCUGUGUGUGACGGUAGCGGGUAAAGAAGCACCGGCUAACUACGUG